RNAcentral lists this ribosomal RNA (253 nucleotides) under uncultured bacterium. RNAcentral's name for it is "partial 16S ribosomal RNA". It matches the Rfam family "Bacterial small subunit ribosomal RNA", at positions 524 to 776 of the family's 1533-position model. The record is from RNAcentral.
UACGUAGGGGGCAAGCGUUGUCCGGAUUUAUUGGGCGUAAAGAGCGUGUAGGCGGCCAGAUAGGUCCGUUGUGAAAACUCGAGGCUCAACCUCGAGACGCCGAUGGAAACCAUGUGGCUAGAGUCCGGAAGAGGAGAGUGGAAUUCCUGGUGUAGCGGUGAAAUGCGCAGAUGUCAGGAAGAACACCCGUGGCUAAGGCGGCUCUCUAGUACGGUACUGACGCUGAGACGCGAAAGCGUGGGGAGCGAACAGG